GUCCACGCCGUAAACGAUGUCAACUAGGUGUUGGGCGGUUAAUCGUCUCAUUGCCGGAGCUAACGCAUUAAGUUGACCGCCUGGGGAGUACGGUCGCAAGAUUAAACUCAAAGGAAUUGACGGGGCCCGCACAAGCGGUGGAGUAUGUGGUUUAAUUCGACGCAACACGCAGAACCUUACCUGGUCUUGACAUCCCGAGAAUCCUGUGGAAACACGGGAGUGCCUCUUUGAGGAGCUCGGUGACAGGUGCUGCAUGGCUGUCGU
This 264-nucleotide ribosomal RNA is filed under the name uncultured bacterium. RNAcentral describes it as "partial 16S ribosomal RNA". It matches the Rfam family "Bacterial small subunit ribosomal RNA", at positions 793 to 1055 of the family's 1533-position model. The record is from RNAcentral.